Molecule: ribosomal RNA, 249 nt
Filed under: uncultured bacterium
Lineage: Bacteria
Description: partial 16S ribosomal RNA
Rfam family: Bacterial small subunit ribosomal RNA
Source: RNAcentral
GAUCCUGGCUCAGAUUGAACGCUGGCGGCAGGCUUAACACAUGCAAGUCGAGCGGGGGAAGGUAGCUUGCUACCGGACCUAGCGGCGGACGGGUGAGUAAUGCUUAGGAAUCUGCCUAUUAGUGGGGGACAACAUCUCGAAAGGGAUGCUAAUACCGCAUACGUCCUACGGGAGAAAGCAGGGGAUCUUCGGACCUUGCGCUAAUAGAUGAGCCUAAGUCGGAUUAGCUAGUUGGUGGGGUAAAGGCCU